RNAcentral lists this ribosomal RNA (1495 nucleotides) under metagenome. Its description in RNAcentral is "bacterial SSU rRNA". It matches the Rfam family "Bacterial small subunit ribosomal RNA". The record is from RNAcentral.
AGGGUUUGAUCCUGGCUCAGAAUGAACGUUGGCGGCAUGGAUUAGGCAUGCAAGUCGAGUGCAAUAGGUUUGGUGCUUGCAUUAAACCUUGAAAGCGGCGAAAGGGAGAGUAACGCGUAGGAUAUUUGCCCCCGGGACUGGGAUAGCGGCGGGAAACUGCCGGUAAUACCAGAUAAUGUCUCCGGACCAAAGGUGUGAUUCCGCCUGGGGAUGAUCCUGCGUCCUAUUAGCUAGUUGGUAGGGUAAUGGCCUACCAAGGCUUUGAUGGGUAGCGGGCGUGAGAGUGUGGCCCGUCUCACUGGGACUGAGAUAUUGCCCAGACACCUACGGGUGGCUGCAGUCGAGAAUCUUCCGCAAUGGGCGAAAGCCUGAUGGAGCGAUGCCGCGUGCGGGAUGAAGGCCUUCGGGUUGUAAACCGCUGUCAGUGGGGUGGAAAUUGUUUGGGGUUAUCCCCAUUCAUUGACCUAACCGCAGAGGAAGUCCGGGUUAAGUAUGUGCCAGCAGCCGCGGUGAUACGUACCGGACGAACGUUAUUCGGAAUCACUGGGCUUAAAGAGUGCGUAGGCGGCUCUGUAGGUGAGGUGUGAAAUUCCACGGUUCAACCGUGGAAUUGCGCUUCAAACCGCAGAGCUUGAGGAGGACAGGGGUGAGCGGAACUGAUGGUGGAGCGGUGAAAUGCGUUGAUAUCAUCAGGAACACCUGUGGCGAAGGCGGCUCACUGGGUCCUAAUUGACGCUGAGGCACGAAAGCUAGGGGAGCGAACGGGAUUAGAUACCCCGGUAGUCCUAGCUGUAAACGAUGAGCACUAGAUCGUGGGGACCUCUACAUCCUCUCGGUCGUAGCGAAAGUGUUAAGUGCUCCGCCUGGGGAGUAUGGUUGCAAGGCUGAAACUCAAAGGGAUUGACGGGGGCUCACACAAGCGGUGGAGGAUGUGGCUUAAUUUGAGUUUAUGCGAAGAAUCUUAUCCUAGUCUUGACAUGUUUUAGAAUCCUCCUGAAAGGGAGGAGUGCCCUUCGGGGAGCUUUUGCACAGGUGCUGUAUGGCUGUCGUCAGCUCGUGUCGUGAGAUGUUGGGUUAAGUCCCUUAACGAGCGAAACCCUUGUCUCUAGUUGCCAGCGGGUAAUGCCGGGGACUCUAGAGGGACUGCCGGUGUUAAACCGGAGGAAGGUGGGGAUGACGUCAAGUCCUCAUGGCCUUUAUGACUAGGGCUGCACACGUCCUACAAUGCGUCGUAUAAAGGGAAGCAACCUCGUGAGAGCAAGCAAAUCCCAAAAAGCGGCGCCCAGUUCGGAUUGCAGGCUGUAAUUUGCCUGCAUGAAGCCGGAAUCGCUAGUAAUCGCGGGUUAGCAUACCGCGGUGAAUAUGUUCCUGAGCCUUGUAUAUACUGCCCGUCAAGUCACGAAAGUGGGGUGCGCCCGAAGUCGCUGAGCUAACCCGCAAGGGAGGCAAGCGCCGAAGGUGAACUCCGCGAUUGGGACUAAGUCGGAACAAGGUA